Long non-coding RNA from Amphiprion ocellaris (clown anemonefish), 1152 nucleotides. NCBI's taxonomy places the organism in Eukaryota, Metazoa, Chordata, Actinopteri, Pomacentridae. The record is from Ensembl.
GAGACAUUCAGAGGUCCUGAUGACCUCUAUACUGUCAGCAGCAGAGUGACUGUGGAGAAGAGACACAGCAACAAGUUCACCUGCAGAGUCCAGCAGAACAACAUCAACCAGAGCAGAGAGACAUGGAUUCAUGUUCCAGAUGAUUUUGUCACAGUUGCUGCCACCAUCGGUUUGAUUGCUGGCAUCAUGUUUAUUGUUGCAGUCGUCGUCUUUGUGUGGAAAUGGAGACAAAUCAAACUGAAGAAGAAGAAGCACCACGGCGAUGAAGAAAAAGUGAAAACUAGAGAGAAGACGAACAGCUCUGGAGAAAUGAUGCUUUAACAGAGUCUCUGAUUGAAAGAGAAGCAGCAGAAAAUGUGAAAAUGCAGAGAAAUCCCUUGAGUGAAACAACAGGAUCUGACAUUCAGACAGAAGAUGAAACACACCAGAGUCAAACUAGUAAUCAUCUGAUUCAAACACAAGAAGAGACGGAGACACAACAUGGUCCUGGAGGAGCAGAACUACAGGCUUUAGUGGAUAGACAAAGACAAACAUACCAACCUCUGGAGACCAUGAGUGAUUCAGAUAAAGAUCAAGAAGACACAGCAACCAGUGAAAAUAGUCCAGUAGAAAGAGAUGUGAACAAUGGAGGUGAUAAGACUGAAGCUGUAAGAGAAAACACAAACAGUGAAAUGGAUGAAGAAACAAAACAAGAGCAGCUGAUAGAAGUAAAAAAUACAGAAAAUAAUCUACAGGCAGAAGAAGAAAAGAAUCUGCAGGAAGUUCAGCCUUGUCUGGACAAAGAGAUGGAAAAACUGAAGUCAAAGCUGCAGCCUAAAGAACAAGAUGAGAGACAAUAUGAAAAACGAGUUACGAGACUGAUGGGAAACAAGACAGAACAAGAGAAGCAGAUUAAAGAUCUCAAAGAGCAGCUGGAAGAAGUGGAGAGAAAACUUCAGUCAAAGAAUGAAAAUGAAGAAACACAGAUAGAAGAAGAUGAGAAAGAUCUGCAGAGGAAGAAAGAAGAACUUCAGAAACAGCUGAAGAGACUAGAGACGGCUCUGGAAAGAUCUAAUAAAGUAGUGGAUACUAUGACACAGAGGAAAAUGAAAGCAACUAAAGAAAAAGAGGAGACUAUUAGAAAAUUAGAGAUGAAGAACAGGAAUGAAAAUC